Molecule: ribosomal RNA, 1429 nt
Filed under: metagenome
Description: bacterial SSU rRNA
Rfam family: Bacterial small subunit ribosomal RNA
Source: RNAcentral
ACGAUGAUUGGUGACGGAGCGGCGGACGGGUGAGUAACGCGUGGCUAACCUACCCUCUUGACGGGGACAACCACUCGAAAGGGUGGCUAAUACCCGAUAUUGUCUGGAACCGAUGGGUUCCUUUCCAAAGGCGGUCUUGCCGCCGCAAGGGGAUGGGGCUGCGUCCUAUUAGCUAGUUGGUGAGGUAACGGCUCACCAAGGCUUCGAUGGGUAGCUGGUCUGAGAGGACAGCCAGCCACAUUGCACUGAGAUACGGCCCAGACUCCUACGGGAGGCAGCAGUGGGGAAUCUUGGCCAAUGGACGAAAGUCUGAGCCAGCGACACCGCGUGGGGGAUGACGGCCUUCGGGUUGUAAACCUCUUUUCUGGGGAAAGAAUAAGGACGGGAGGAAAUGCCCGCUCGAUGACGGUACUCCAGGAAUAAGCAUCGGCUAACUCUGUGCCAGCAGCCGCGGUAAGACAGAGGAUGCGAGCGUUAUCCGGAAUUACUGGGCGUAAAGGGCGUCUAGGCGGUUCGGUAAGUCGUUCGUGAAAUCCCUCGGCUCAACCGAGGAGGGUCUUGCGAUACUGCCGAGCUUGGGUGCAGGAGAGGAGGGUGGAACUCACAGAGUAGCGGUGGAGUGCGUAGAUACUGUGAGGUACCCCGAUGGCGAAGGCAACCCUCUGGCCUGCUACCGACGCUGAAGCGCGAAAGCGUGGGGAGCAAAGGGGAUUAGAUACCCCCGUAGUCCACGCCCUAAACAAUGUUCACUUGGUGUCGGCCGCUCAUACUGGUCGGUGCCGAAGCUAACGCGUUAAGUGAACCGCCUGAGGAGUACGGCCGCAAGGCUAAAACUCAAGAGAAUUGACGGGUCCCUGCACAAGCGGUGGAGCACGUGGUUUAAUUCGACGAUAAACGAAGAACCUCACCCAGGCUUGACAUACUAGUGGUAGGAACCUGAAAGGGAGACGACCCUGCCUUCGGGUAGGGAGCUAGUACAGGUGAUGCAUGGCUGUCGUCAGCUCGUGUCGUGGGAUGUUGGGUUCAGUCCCGAAACGAGCGCAACCCUUGUCGUUAGUUGCCAGCGGGUAAUGCCGGGGACUCUAACGAGACUGCUGGUGAAUAGCCGGAGGAAGGCGGGGAUGACGUCAAGUCAUCAUGUCCCUUACGCCUGGGGCGACACACAUGCUACAAUGGGGGGUACAGAGGGUCGCAAUCCCGUAAGGGGGAGCCAAUCCAUAAAAGCCCCUCUCAGUUCGGAUUGAGGUCUGCAACUCGACCUCAUGAAGCCGGAAUCGCUAGUAAUCGCGGGUCAGCCAUACCGCGGUGAAUAUGUACUCAGGGAUUGUACACACCGCCCGUCACACCAACCGAGUGGGGGGUACCUGAAGUCGCUCUUCUGAGGGCGCCUAAGGUAACUUCCGCAUAGGGGUGAAGUCGUAACAAGGUA